AAAAGAAUACGUGAUUUUCCUCAUAUAAUAUUGGGAAUAUGGCCCAGAAGUUUCUACCUAAUGACCGUAAAUCAUUGGACUAUGAAGGAAAGCAAUAUACUU
Non-coding RNA from Anaerobacillus alkalilacustris, 102 nucleotides. The record is from Rfam. Lineage: Bacteria; Bacillati; Bacillota; Bacilli; Caryophanales; Bacillaceae.